Long non-coding RNA from Pseudoliparis swirei, 816 nucleotides. RefSeq lists it as uncharacterized. The transcript has 2 exons. NCBI's taxonomy places the organism in Eukaryota, Metazoa, Chordata, Actinopteri, Perciformes, Liparidae. The record is from RefSeq and is a predicted model, not a curated record.
CUCUGCCGCUCUGUCGCGCUGCCGCUCUGCCGCUCUGCUGGAAAACAUUUGGCAUCCUCAAAUCCUAAAUCCAUGCUGCCGUCUUCUGGUUCCUGGUCACUCCUCUGCAGUAAAACGAGGUGAGUAACUUCGUUACAGCGUAAUAAAAAGGAAUUUGCUCAUGGAGUCAGCGGCAGUCGGAUUAGAACCUGAAACUCUUUAUUGUUCUGGAGGUUCUAGUAGCGGAGAGUCAGCUGCGACGUGAUUGGUUCUUUUUGUUUCUCCAUCAACGGACAUGUUGCACUUGUAAAUACAGGAAGAAAAACUAAAUAAACAAGAUAAUCUACUAAUGUCAAAGUUGAACCGUCAGGGUGAUGACGGGGGGGGGGGGUUAUUUGACUGGUGCAGGGCGUUGUGUUUAGGGGUCGGGGAGCUCGGGGUCAAAGGAGGAAGUUCAACACCUGGAUACCCACAAUGCAUCACUCCUCCACUUCUUUUUCUGUUCUUCAUCUCGUUAGCUUGGUUUUGGGUUUGCAUGCAGAUUUUUUAUUUUUUCAAAUUCAACUGCAUGACUGAGGAUGAUGAUGAUGAUGAAGACCAUCGUCGAGGCCGAGUCCCUCUAUAGUUGGACCUUUGUUCUGCGGUUCCAGACGGUUUCAGUCCUGGCUGCAUGGUUCUGGACCCGAGGCCCGCUGUCGGCUCCGUUCUGAACCCACUGACCGGCUGUUUAGUUUAUUUUCUUUUUUUUACCAAACAUCUUUCCGUUGCAUGUCCUGGUCUUGAACAGGUAAGUGGGCCACCGGUUCUACAUGGGCAGGGCCCGGUGGGGGUCUGGGU